RNAcentral lists this ribosomal RNA (749 nucleotides) under uncultured Capnocytophaga sp. RNAcentral describes it as "bacterial SSU rRNA". It matches the Rfam family "Bacterial small subunit ribosomal RNA", at positions 28 to 776 of the family's 1533-position model. Lineage: Bacteria; Pseudomonadati; Bacteroidota; Flavobacteriia; Flavobacteriales; Flavobacteriaceae. The record is from RNAcentral.
GAUGAACGCUGACAGAAUGCUUAACACAUGCAAGUCGAGGGAGAGGUUAUCUUCGGGUAACCAAAACCGGCGCACGGGUGCGUAACGCGUAUACAAUCUGCCUUUCACAUAGGGAUAGCCCGAAGAAAUUUGGAUUAAUACCUAAUGGUAUAUAAGAGCGGCAUCGUUUUUAUAUUAAAGCUACGGUGGUGAAAGAUGAGUAUGCGUUCUAUUAGCUAGUUGGAGAGGUAACGGCUCCCCAAGGCGACGAUAGAUAGGGGUUCUGAGAGGGAUGUCCCCCACACUGGUACUGAGAUACGGACCAGACUCCUACGGGAGGCAGCAGUGAGGAAUAUUGGACAAUGGUCGGAAGACUGAUCCAGCCAUGCCGCGUGCAGGAUGAAGGUCCUAUGGAUUGUAAACUGCUUUUGUAAGGGAAGAAUAAGGAGUACGUGUACUUUGAUGACGGUACCUUACGAAUAAGCAUCGGCUAACUCCGUGCCAGCAGCCGCGGUAAUACGGAGGAUGCGAGCGUUAUCCGGAAUCAUUGGGUUUAAAGGGUCCGUAGGCGGGCUGAUAAGUCAGAGGUGAAAGCGCUUAGCUCAACUAAGCAACUGCCUUCGAAACUGUCAGUCUUGAAUGAUUGUGAAGUAGUUGGAAUGUGUAGUGUAGCGGUGAAAUGCUUAGAUAUUACACAGAACACCGAUAGCGAAGGCAUAUUACUAACAAUUUAUUGACGCUGAUGGACGAAAGCGUGGGGAGCGAACAGG